CCCUUAGAUGUUCUGGGCCGCACGCGCGCUACACUGAUGCAUUCAACGAGCCUAUCCUUGACCGACAGGUCCGGGUAAUCUUUGAAUCUGCAUCGCGACGGGGAUAGAUUAUUGCAAUUAUUAAUCUUCAACGAGGAAUGCCUAGUAGGCGCAAGUCAUCAGCUUGCGUCGAUUACGUCCCUGCCCUUUGUACACACCGCCCGUCGCUCCUACCGAUUGGGUGUGCUGGUGAAAUGUUCGGAUCGGCCGUUUGUCGCGGUUUCCGCGUCAUGUGGCUGAGAAGUUCAUUAAACCCUCCCACCUAGAGGAAGGAGAAGUCGUAACA
This 325-nucleotide ribosomal RNA is filed under the name uncultured eukaryote. RNAcentral describes it as "partial 18S ribosomal RNA". It matches the Rfam family "Eukaryotic small subunit ribosomal RNA", at positions 1470 to 1796 of the family's 1831-position model. The record is from RNAcentral.